Molecule: long non-coding RNA, 848 nt
Organism: Micropterus dolomieu (smallmouth bass)
Lineage: Eukaryota; Metazoa; Chordata; Actinopteri; Centrarchiformes; Centrarchidae
Exons: 3
Source: RefSeq, a predicted model, not a curated record
CUGGGCUGAGAUCCGCAGCCUGGUUACGGUGGAUUACCUUGGUAACAGGAAGCGGCAAACGGGGAGUCCAUUAUUCAGCUGUUUGCCCGGGACGCGCUCUGCCAGCUAACAGGAUUACACAGAGAGCUGCCGGCAGGACGAGCCCGCCGCCAGAACACAAGCCAGAGCGGCGCAGCGACCGGUUUGGUUCAUGCUGUCUGAGUCCAGUAACAGGAAGAGUUUCGGUUUGGUUUCUGACUGCAGCAACAAACAGCUGGUUCUCGAGAGGAUCAGAGGCGACUGAAGAGGUUGUGGUUUCUCUCCACGUGCUGAGGGGAUUAAUGAGGUGGAGAAUGAAGACGCGGCUUCCUGCAGCGGUUGGAGGGUUUACCGGCUGCACUCAUCCCACGUUAACAGCUGUUCCACCAAAACCACGAGUCUGCAGCGCUGCCACUCACAGGAAGCACAAACCUAAUCUCGUUUCACCUGAACUGCUGAAUUCUGGGAAAUGGAAAAAAACUGGACUCAACGCGCUGGUUCUCCUCUCUGGAUGUGAGAGUUCUGAACGCUGAUUACUCUUUUAAAGAGUGUUUGAUGUUGCUGAAGGGACGAAGUGAACUCCGCCUCCCUCGACUCUAAUUAUCUCAUUCAUCGCCGGCUGCUGGGAAGUUUUAUUUUAUUAGACCUGAGAACCUUUGUUUGUUUCCAGCAGAAAAUCCAACAGGUUCAGGUCCUUUUAGAUGUUGUGAAUAAUAAAGUCGGUGCGCCACCUGCUGGUUGGUUGUGAAGACGGCAGCGUCUCCUAGAAAUUGAGAUUCUGUUAGUUUCAACAGCAAAAUGUUUGCAAGCCGCCUGAAUCACCUUCAGCA